CCUACGGGCGGCAGCAGUAGGGAAUAUUGCGCAAUGGGCGAAAGCCUGACGCAGCAACGCCGCGUGAACGAGACGCCCCUCGGGGUGUAAAGUCCCGUUAGUGGGGACGAAAAAUGACGGUACCUGAAGAGGAAGCACCUGCUAACUCCGUGCCAGCAGCCGCGGUAAUACGGAGGGUGCAAGCGUUGUCCGGAAUCAUUGGGCGUAAAGAGUUCGUAGGCGGCAUGUAAAGUCAGGUGUUAAAGGCGCAGGCUCAACCUGUGUAUGGCACUUGAUACUUGCAAGCUGGAAUGCGGUAGUGGUAGAGGGAAUUCCUGGGGUAGCGGUGAAAUGCUUAGAUAGCAGGAGGAACAUCGGUGGCGUAAGCGCUUUACUGGGCCGUAAUUGACGCUGAGGAACGAAAGCCAGGGUAGCAAAUGGGAUUAGAUACCCUAGUAGUC
This 440-nucleotide ribosomal RNA is filed under the name uncultured bacterium. RNAcentral's name for it is "partial 16S ribosomal RNA". It matches the Rfam family "Bacterial small subunit ribosomal RNA", at positions 338 to 795 of the family's 1533-position model. The record is from RNAcentral.